Pseudomonadales bacterium is the source of this 179-nucleotide non-coding RNA. NCBI's taxonomy places the organism in Bacteria, Pseudomonadati, Pseudomonadota, Gammaproteobacteria, Pseudomonadales. The record is from Rfam.
AGCUCCCUGGAGUGUGCGCCAGUUGGUGAUGUCCCUGAGCCGAUUCGCACAACCCCGGAGGUUGCACGUUGAGACCGGUGUGCAUGUCCGCUUGACGGAAAGCCUUAACGUCUCCUGCAACCUCCACCUUGAACUUUCGGGUUCAAGGGCUAAGCCGACAGCGGCACGUCGGGGAGUCA